UGAAUACGAGACGCUAAGGCGUCGAAGUAGUGUAUGUCAUACUUCCAAGAAAAGCUUGCACUGUCAUAAGUAAAAAAUGCCUGUACCAUAACCGACACAGGUGGGUAGGUAGAGUAUACUAAGGGGCGCGAGAUAACUCUCUCUAUGGAACUCGGCAAAAUAACUCCGUAACUUCGGGAGAAGGAGUACCUUAUUCUAUAAGGUUGCAAUAACAAGAUCCAAGCAACUGUUUAUCAAAAACACAGGUCUCCGCUAAGUCGUAAGACGAUGUAUGGGGGCUGACGCCUGCCCAGUGCCAGAAGGUUAAAGAAGUCGGUUAGCAUUAGCGAAGCUGGUAACUGAAGCCCUGGUGAACGGCGGCCGUAACAAUAACGGUCCUAAGGUAGCGAAAUUCCUUGUCGGGUAAGUUCCGACCCGCACGAAAGGCGUAAUGAUUUGGAUACUGUCUCGGAGAGGGGCUCGGUGAAAUAGACUUGUCUGUGAAGAUGCGGACUACCUGCACCAGGACAGAAAGACCCUAUGAAGCUUUACUGUAACUUGAAAUUGAAAUUGGACUUUAUUCGCGCAGUAUAGGUGGGAGGUGUUGAUUAUAAUCUUGCGGGAUUAUUGGAGCCAUCAGUGAGAUACCACUCUUGUAAUGUUAGAUUUCUAACUUUGAAUCAUUAUCUGGUCAAAGGACAGUUUCAGGCGGGCAGUUUGACUGGGGCGGUCGCCUCCCAAACGGUAACGGAGGCGUACAAAGGUUUCCUCUGAACGGGUAGAAAUCGUAUCUAGAGUGUAAAGGCAUAAGGAAGCUUGACUGUGAGACCUACAAGUCGAACAGGGACGAAAGUCGGUCUUAGUGAUCUGACGGUACUGAGUGGAAAGGCCGUCACUCAACGGAUAAAAGUUACUCUAGGAUAACAGGCUGAUCUCCCCCAAGAGUUCACAUCGACGGGGAGGUUUGGCACCUCGAUGUCGGCUCAUCGCAUCCUGGGGCGGUAGUACGUCCCAAGGGUUGGGCUGUUCGCCCAUGAAAGCGGUACGCGAGCUGGGUUCAGAACGUCGUGAGACAGUUCGGUCCAUAUCCGGUGUAGGCGUUAGAAUAUUGAGAGGAGCCUUCUUUAGUACGAGAGGACCGAGAAGGACAUACCUCUGGUGUACCAGUUAUCGUGCCAACGGUAAACGCUGGGUAGCUAUGUAUGGAGUGGAUAACCGCUGAAAGCAUCUAAGUGGGAAGCCCACCUCAAGAUGAGUAUUCCCAU
RNAcentral lists this ribosomal RNA (1244 nucleotides) under metagenome. RNAcentral's name for it is "bacterial LSU rRNA". It matches the Rfam family "Bacterial large subunit ribosomal RNA", at positions 1564 to 2817 of the family's 2925-position model. The record is from RNAcentral.